RNAcentral lists this ribosomal RNA (602 nucleotides) under Daedalea sp. MLH-2014. RNAcentral's name for it is "eukaryotic LSU rRNA". The stretch from base 211 to 364 matches the Rfam family "5.8S ribosomal RNA". The record is from RNAcentral. Lineage: Eukaryota; Fungi; Basidiomycota; Agaricomycetes; Polyporales; Fomitopsidaceae.
AUUAAUGACUUUGAAGGGGUUGUAGCUGGCCUUUUCGUCUGAGGGGCAUUUUGUGCACACCCUGAUCGUUGUCCGUUUCACACCUGUGCACACACUGUAGGUUGGCUUUCCGGGUGAAGCCUUUCACUGGCUUUGCUUUGUGGCCCUCCUAUGUUUUAUCACAAACUACACUGUUAAAAGAAUGUCUAUCGCGUGUAACGCAUUAUAUACAACUUUCAGCAACGGAUCUCUUGGCUCUCGCAUCGAUGAAGAACGCAGCGAAAUGCGAUAAGUAAUGUGAAUUGCAGAAUUCAGUGAAUCAUCGAAUCUUUGAACGCACCUUGCGCUCCUUGGUAUUCCGAGGAGCAUGCCUGUUUGAGUGUCACGGAAUUAUCAACUCUCUUUGCUUAUGCGAAUAGAUGUUGGAUUUGGAGGUGUAUUGCUGGGAAUACAUUUGUGUCCGGCUCCUCUUGAAUGCAUUAGCUCGAGCCUUUGUGAAUCAGCUUUGGUGUGAUAAUUGUCUACGCCUUUCUGUGAAGCGUACUGUGGGACUCGGCUUCUAACCGUCCGUUUAACGGACAGUACCAUAUGACCUCUGACCUCAAAUCAGGUAGGGUUACCCG